RNAcentral lists this transfer RNA (88 nucleotides) under Candidatus Carsonella ruddii. RNAcentral's name for it is "tRNA-Ser". It matches the Rfam family "tRNA". Rfam says of the family: Transfer RNA (tRNA) molecules are approximately 80 nucleotides in length. Their secondary structure includes four short double-helical elements and three loops (D, anti-codon, and T loops). The record is from RNAcentral. Lineage: Bacteria; Pseudomonadati; Pseudomonadota; Gammaproteobacteria; Oceanospirillales; Halomonadaceae.
AGAGAUAUGUCUGAGUGGUUUAAAGAGUAUGCUUGGAAAGCAUAAAAAACAUUUUCUGUUUUCAUGGGUUCGAAUCCCAUUAUCUCUU